GAUGAACGCUGGCGGCGUGCCUAACACAUGCAAGUCGAGCGAACGGACGCUGCUCUUGCUUUUCUGUUGUUAGCCGCGCACGUGUGAGUAACGUGUGUAUACCCUCCCUAUAUUACUGGUAUAAUUUCGGGACACCGGCUCUUAUCCCGUAUAAUCUUUUGCUCCGCAUUGUUCAUAGGUGAAUUACGGUCUUGCUGUCUCUUAUCGCUGCAUCCCCGCUUCAUUAGCUAGUUGUUACGGUCACGGCUUACCACGGCAACCAUGCAUAGCCGACCUGAUAGAGUGAUAGGCGACACGAGAACUGAGACACGGUCCAGACUACUACGGGAGGCAGCAGUAGGGAAUCUGACGCAAUGGGCGAAAGCAUGACGGAGCAACGCCGCGUGAGUGACGAAGGUCUUCGGAUCGGAAAAAUCGGUUACUAGGGAAGAACAGAUGUGGAAGGAAAUGUGCACAGCUUGACGGUAAUUAAUCAGAAAGCAACGGCUAACUACGUG
This 497-nucleotide ribosomal RNA is filed under the name uncultured bacterium. Its description in RNAcentral is "partial 16S ribosomal RNA". It matches the Rfam family "Bacterial small subunit ribosomal RNA", at positions 28 to 507 of the family's 1533-position model. The record is from RNAcentral.